AGCUUUAUAGUCAUAUUUAAUGAUAUUAGACUGCAAUUCUAAAGGAGUAGAUAAUCUACUAAGGCUU
RNAcentral lists this transfer RNA (67 nucleotides) under Mesocapnia daxingana. Its description in RNAcentral is "tRNA-Cys". Lineage: Eukaryota; Metazoa; Arthropoda; Insecta; Plecoptera; Capniidae. The record is from RNAcentral.